CCGGGACCUACAAAGGAAGUCUAAACUGGAGUUGGGGGUGCUCCGGCAAGACCCUCCGAUGCUCAAGUCAGUUCUCUGCCUCAACAAGAAUGGACUGCUCGAACGAAAAUUUUAGCAGAAUUUUGGGAUAGAAAUUAGAGCUUAGAGAGUAACGUAUCUGGGGCCCCCUUUUUAUAGGCGGAGGGAGCAACGGAUUGAUAGCGACGUUUGUAACUGCCUAGUAGUGGGCCGCUCAGGGCCAGGAGAAAUUUAUUAUGAAGAGUAAUGGGGUG
Molecule: long non-coding RNA, 272 nt
Filed under: Elaeis guineensis (African oil palm)
Lineage: Eukaryota; Viridiplantae; Streptophyta; Magnoliopsida; Arecales; Arecaceae
Description: long non-coding RNA (EGUI_LNC048483)
Source: RNAcentral